GCUGGAGUUGCGGGGGAAGUAAUUGACGAACAUGUGCCCCCGCGCCUGGUCGAUACAGUGGAACAGCGGGUUCCAGUCGAACAUCGCCAGAAGCUGCGGCGUCAGGGUAUUGGCCACGAACAUCUUGCCCGACGCGAUCAUGUUGGCGCGCUG
Molecule: non-coding RNA, 153 nt
Rfam family: Ruegeria cis2 sRNA
About the family: Cis-encoded. Targets ABC transporter.